AUCAUUUGCUUGGUUCUAUUUCUACAUGGGCAUUGCAUCUGGAUUUGUGGUGGGGAUUUGGGCAGUGUUGGAUCCUGUAGUGUUUAACAGAAGAUGAAGGCUUUUACAUUUCAAUCUUUUAGAUUAUUCAUGGGACAAAAUUAUGAUGUGGUUUAUGCAUGUAAAUAUUUUUAAGAGUAGUGAAUUUCUAGUUAUGUCCAAAAAACAUACAAGUGUGGAAUGGACUAUGCAUGUCUACAUAAGUUGGUACUUUACUUUUGUUGGGAGAGUGUUUUUGUAUGAUUGUACAAUUGCUAUGUAAUUUUACAUUGCAUUUAAUAAAAAUUAA
This 328-nucleotide unclassified non-coding RNA is filed under the name Hevea brasiliensis (rubber tree). Lineage: Eukaryota; Viridiplantae; Streptophyta; Magnoliopsida; Malpighiales; Euphorbiaceae. The record is from RNAcentral.